This 484-nucleotide long non-coding RNA is filed under the name Dermacentor andersoni. RNAcentral's name for it is "uncharacterized LOC126531171". The record is from RNAcentral. Lineage: Eukaryota; Metazoa; Arthropoda; Arachnida; Ixodida; Ixodidae.
GUCUACGAUUCAACUUUGUAACGCUAGUUCUGUGCAUUACACACCCUGAAAUGCAGACUGAACAUACAAGUGUCCAGGGUACUUAAUCUUCUUUCUUCUUCUAAAUUACCCCAUAAGAUAUUCUGCACAGCCAACGUGGGCUUACAAUAAACUGAUUCCCCUUGACACACUGCAUACAUGUAACAUUUGCUUUAUUUUAUUAUCCUGAUCAGCUUUCAAGUCAUAGAAGGAAAAGGUGGAGAAAGACACACGCAGUCACUUCAUUGCAAGGACAGGUACAGAGACUUGCGGCCACCUGAAAAAGAAGCAUUUCUACUUCGUCUGUCACCGGUCUGGAAGUUAUGCUUCACAAGCUACAAGUAAACAAAAGCUGAAGCGGCCUUCAAGUGUCAAGUGUGGAAAAAGAUGUUUUGCGGCAAUGGCUGUGACUGAAGACAACACAGGUGUGUAUGUGGUUUUCCAAUUCAAGCACAGAGGCCACGAC